Molecule: long non-coding RNA, 4881 nt
Filed under: Rattus norvegicus (Norway rat)
Lineage: Eukaryota; Metazoa; Chordata; Mammalia; Rodentia; Muridae
Description: long non-coding RNA NONRATT031796
Source: RNAcentral
CUAUUUUGUUUUAUUUUCAAUAGAAAAAAUGGAUUUUAUUACUACCAUCGAAGGAAACUUACUAACCUUGGAUUUUUAUGAAAAUUGGCUUAGCAUCCCAGAUGAAGGAACUCUGGGUGGAAAAAUUAAUGCCAUUCAAAGCCUUUUGCAACAGAUCCCAGAACCAAACUUUAUACUAUUAAAACAUCUCAUAUGUGUAUUAGUAAUAAUAAAAGAUUCUUCCAUGAAUAAUUUAGACAGUUACAGGUUAUCUCUGCGCAUAGCUCCACAUGUACUGUGGGGUCAGACUUCGAGAGAUUCAUUAUUUGGGAGUGAUGUCUUAAGAAAGAUGUCUCUUAUACAAAUCAUGAUUGACAACUAUCAUCGAAUAUUUGGAAAUGAUGAUAUAUUUAGUAAACACAUUGACAAAAGGUCUGAAGACUUAAAGACAUACAAAGAAUCAAUAAAUUAUUCUGGAAAAUCUCCUAUUGUGACAAAAGCCAUAGCUUGGCCACAACUGGAAAACCAAUGAUAUUGAUGAAAAAUUUAAUAUUUCAUAUGCUGCACUGCAGGAAGAAGGUCCUACAGGUAAGACAAGAUUUAUUUAUUCAUCAAAUGAAUGGAAUCAUUUGAUCAAAUCAUUCCAUGAUGUCAUAAAUUUGUGUAUAUGAGAGAAGCUUUGGGACACAAAAUGAUUAUUAGAGUAUGGGAAAAGUUUUUAAACAUCACUUUAAUUAAAUUAUACUUAAAUAUAUGCAUCUAUACAUAUAUUCAUAUAUAUGUACACAUACAUUCACAUAUAUAUAUAUACUCAUAUACUGAAAUACAUCUGGAUACAUUCAGGUAUGUAUGACACAUUAUUUAGGGAAUCCACCAAUAUUGUCUGCUAUAUUUUCCCCCCUUUCUUCCCAUGGUCCUUAAGUUAGAGAAUUUCUUGCAUAUGAAUUUAUUAUUUUUGAUAAGAUCAUUUAGAAACAAUUAUUUGAUUUAAAAAUUGAUUAGACAUUCUGCAAGAUUAAGCCCUGCACCACUGUGAAACAUGCUUUGGUUUCCUAGCACGAAAAUACUAAUGUUUGUUUAAUUUCCUAUGAGAAACAAUAUUUUUCAAAAUUUUAUCAUUGGUAAAAAUAUUAAUUUGCACAGGAUUCACUACAAAACCUAUGAGAAGUAUGAUAAAGAGGUUAAACACACCUGAUUAUCAGGUAGUAGCACACAAAUUCAAAUACACUUUUAACUGAAGUAAUUAAGAAAAUAUACCCAAAUAUUACCCUUAUCUUAAGUGAUGUGAAUCUAUCAUCUGAGAAUAUUUGUCUGAUGAUGACAUUUUAUGUUUCGUUUAGCAGGACAAAACAGGACAACUACCACAUAUAAGUGGUAGUGGAUGAUUUAAGAAAGUCUAAGGUCAUUGUAUUUUAAUGUUCCCUUUUACCUCCCAUUUAAUCAUAUCAGAAGAAUUAUUCCAAGAUACUAUGUUAGCUUUAUAUUUCACCGUAUUAGUUACAAAUAGUUUUCACUCAUUGUACUUACUUUAUGCUGCAUAUUUCAUAUUGUUUGCUAUUGUAACAAAUGUUAUUAUAUUGGGUUAUUGUUUACACUCCAAUGUGCCUUGUUCAUGGUCCUACACAGUCUUUGGAAAAUUUUUCAGUCUCUGCCUCUACAGCCCAGUUAUAGUAUUAGUUUUCCCAUCUCAGUUACCAAUGUGUGGCCAGAAGCUAAUGACACUGAAUAAUACCUGAGAAUUCUGCAUAGAAUCCCGUGCCAUAGAAAGUUAUAAAUAAAAUUCCAUUAACAAUCAAAAUUAAUCAUCACACAUGAUGAACUUAGAGGUGUAUCAUGGUUUUAGAAUAUACAAAAUGACCUGAAAAGAUAAUCCAGUGUCUAAAGCAAUUGAGAUUUAGACUUUGCAACAUGAAUUUGGGUCAUCAAAACAUACAUUAAAAAACAAACAAGGGCUGGAGAGAUGGCUCAGUGGUUAAGAGCCCCGACUGCUCUUUCAGAGGUCCUGAGUUCAAUUCCCAGCAACCACAGGUGGCUCACAACUAUCUGUAAAAAGAUCUGAUGCCCUCUUCUGGUGUAUCUGAAGACAGCUACAGUGUACUUAUAUAUAAUAAAUGAAUAAAUCUUUAAAAACAAAAAAACAAACAAAACUAGGUAUUGGAGCACAAUCAUCUCUAAACGAGAAGUUUCUACCUGAAUGGAGGUGGCAGUCAGAGACAGUAAUUAACAGAAGCUUAUUGGACAGAUAUUCCUGACAUAUUGUUCAGUAAUGAUCAAAAGAGACUCCCCCCCAAAAAAUUAAAAGAGACAGAAAGACCAAUACUGGAGGCUCCUCAUAUCUUAAUAAGCUCAAAGUUCUAAUUAAGCUCUAAAUAUAUAUCACCAGUGAUGUGAUCUGCACGUGUUUUACACACACACACACACACACACACACACACACACACACAGCAUGCAUGCAUGCAUGCAUUACAUACACUGAGAAAUGCACAGAAGCAUACAGCAUUUUUUUUAUAUAUCUCUUCAUCACCUGAGGCCUCAACAUGAAAUAUUCUUUAUUCAUGGUUUGUCUAUCUCAAAAGUGUCUGUAAUACAAAUCUGAGAAAUGGAAAUCUUAGAGAAAACCUCCAGUAAAGAAAUUGAUAAUUUCCAUAUUUACUGUUCUUAGUCCUUCCUGAACUCCCAUUACUGUAAGUUCACAAUGUUUUCAUUUAUUACUAGUAUUAUUUUAAAUUUUUAUCAAAAGUUGAAUUAUAGCACUGUAACCUGACUUUUCUCCCUUAGGUCUAUCACAGUCACUGCACUUUCAUACUCAUUUCAAUAUUGUUUUGUACAUGUUUAUAUAUAUAUACAUAUAUAUAUUUAUAUCUUUAAAAAUGUGAAUAUUACUUGAGUUCAUUUUAUUCUGUUUGUGAAUAUGGUUUCCAUGAUAUACAGUGUGUAUUAGACAAUCCAUAUGCAGUUCAUUUCUGGAAAAAUUAAUAUUCUAUCAGUCAUAAUUAGCUGCCUAUAACUUUUGACAAGUGAAAUUUUGAUCACUGCCUUAACACUGCAUUGACAUUGCUAUUAUUGUGAUUUUGCACCAAUUUUUAUGAGAGGCAAUUUCAAAACAGACUUUCAAGUAUGCUGGGUCUUACAGUAUUUGUAACCCUUCUUCUACAAUGGUCCCUGAGCUACAGAGCAUUUAGCUCUAAUGUACAUGUACUCACUGGUGAUGGAUUUUUUGUAAUGCAAUUAUCUCUUCAUUGUGUCCAAGUUUUUGUUUUCUGUAAUGGUCUCCAUUUUCUAUACAAAGAGGCUUCUUUGACGUAGGAUGAUGUCCCCAGUUGUUGAUACAUAUAAGACUAAUAUUUAAAUGCUGUAAGGAACGUCACUAAUUUAUUAAAUUAGUGUCAUCAACUUUAAAGUUUAUGACCAAACUAGCUACAUAAAUCGGACUAGAUUUCUAGCUCUGGCCAUGAUUUCAAUCCUGGUGAGAGAAAUUCUACCAAUUGUUAAAGUAUUUUCUGCGGUGUUCUGGCCAUGAUUUCAAUCCUGGUGAGAGAAAUUCUACCAAUUGUUAAAGUAUUUUCUGUGGCGUUCAGGCCAUGAUUUCAAUCCUGGUGAGAGAAAUUCUACCAGUUGUUAAAGUAUUUUCUGUGGCUUUCCCCCAAAAUAUGGAUGCAUCAGGUAGCACUCGGAUUUCUCUCAAGGUUGGGGGCUUGAGUGCCAGUUGCCAAAUAAAUCUUACAAGGAAUCUCAGCAAUCUACCUGGAUAUGUCUUAGAAGCCCCUAGGUUUAAGUCAAAGUUCUAAGGUAGAUAAAACAGUAGGCAAGUUGACACGUUACGGAAGCAAUUGAUAGUUGUACCCACCUGUAAUACCUAUAAAGUACGAUGAUAACCACUGUGGCAAGAUAGCAGAAUAGGUUCAAUAAGUAACAGCUCAGUUCAAAACAACUGUUCUUUGAUUAGACUUAAAUGUAUUUUCUUUACCAUAGAAUUGAACAUGGUUCUGGGUCUUUCAUUUGGUUUCUCAGAAAAAAAUGUUAUUCCUAAGUAUGCUUUUAAAGUUCAACAUUUAGUAUCUUGUUAUUUCUCUUUAGGAUCAUCCGUGCAGGUCCUUUGACUUGUCCAAGUCACACAUUUUCACUCCUCUCUGACAAGAUAAAUUCAUUUUCCUAAAAUAAUAUGAUAUAAAUGUUAUAUAAAUAUACAAUUCCUUCUUUUUGGUUACUUUAGUUUUCUUCUUUCCACAUCUGCAAUUAGCCUUAAUUGACAAUAGUCUAAAACAUUAAAAGUUGAAAUUUCUAGCAAUAAGAAUGCUUACCAUAUUGAGUUAAUUGAAGAAUAUUUAGCAGUGAGCGCCUUAUGUCUGCAAGGAUGAUAAUGAUUCUAUCACCUAGAAUAUCCUUAUAGUGUGUGCUGCCCCUCAUCAAGUUAUUUAUGAAAUAUUAUGGUACCAAUGGCUUCCUUUGCUGAUUUUUGGUCAUACUCAAUCUACUCUUGUUUCAUACAGCCUAUGUAAACAAUUAAGAUAAUAUUAAAACUGCAUGUGACCAAGGGGCCAUAUAUUAGAAAUGAAGAAUUCAAAGUAUGUCUUUUUGAAAAUUGUAUGAUAGUAAACAUAAGUGAGCCUAAAUAUUCCAUAAGAAUAAUCAGAUAUCUUGUAAAUUCUUUCAAAAGUAGCAACAUACAAAAUUAACACACAAAGUGAGUACUCCUUCUUUGUAAAAAUCACAAACUUACUGAAAAGUAAAUCAAUGAAAACCUGUCAUUAACAGUAACUUUUUUUUUAAAUACCAAAUAUUUAUUUUAAAUUACUGUAAAACAAUAUUUAAGACCAUGGAUUAACAUGGAUGGAACAACAAUCCUUGGCUCACAUGAAGUACAAACUCCAAUGUAUUUUUAAAUCACAAAAUUCUAUCAAU